GUAGGUGAACCUGCGGAAGGAUCAUUAACACGUAUCCAACGUUAAACCCCCUGUGCACCUUCAGAGAGCUCUUGCGCGCCCGUGAUGGCAGCAAUCCUGGUAAAUCAGUGGCGAAAGUAGUCUUUGAUUCAGGACCUCUGUCAUCAUGAGAAAAAUUAUAGCGGGCAAUCGAGCCUUUUAUCGUCAGUCUGGAGUCCUGGCCGGGCGAAUGAAAGUGUCGCUGGACGGUUUCUAGGGUAAGGCUUCGCCA
RNAcentral lists this unclassified non-coding RNA (250 nucleotides) under plant metagenome. Its description in RNAcentral is "partial contains small subunit ribosomal RNA, internal transcribed spacer 1, and 5.8S ribosomal RNA". The record is from RNAcentral.